Molecule: ribosomal RNA, 300 nt
Filed under: uncultured Oceanospirillaceae bacterium
Lineage: Bacteria; Pseudomonadati; Pseudomonadota; Gammaproteobacteria; Oceanospirillales; Oceanospirillaceae
Description: bacterial SSU rRNA
Rfam family: Bacterial small subunit ribosomal RNA
Source: RNAcentral
GCGUAGGAAUCUACCUGGUAGUGGGGGAUAGCCCAGAGAAAUUUGGAUUAAUACCGCAUACGCCCUACGGGGGAAAGGAGGGGAUCUUCGGACCUUUCGCUAUCAGAUGAGCCUGCGUGAGAUUAGCUAGAUGGUGGGGUAAUGGCCUACCAUGGCGACGAUCUCUAGCUGGUUUGAGAGGAUGAUCAGCCACACUGGGACUGAGACACGGCCCAGACUCCUACGGGAGGCAGCAGUGGGGAAUAUUGCACAAUGGGCGCAAGCCUGAUGCAGCCAUGCCGCGUGUGUGAAGAAGGCCUU